This 449-nucleotide ribosomal RNA is filed under the name Salmonella enterica subsp. enterica serovar Enteritidis. RNAcentral describes it as "partial 23S ribosomal RNA". It matches the Rfam family "Bacterial large subunit ribosomal RNA", at positions 161 to 590 of the family's 2925-position model. The record is from RNAcentral. Lineage: Bacteria; Pseudomonadati; Pseudomonadota; Gammaproteobacteria; Enterobacterales; Enterobacteriaceae.
AAUCCAUAGGUUAAUGAGGCGAACCGGGGGAACUGAAACAUCUAAGUACCCCGAGGAAAAGAAAUCAACCGAGAUUCCCCCAGUAGCGGCGAGCGAACGGGGAGGAGCCCAGAGCCUGAAUCAGCAUGUGUGUUAGUGGAAGCGUCUGGAAAGGCGCGCGAUACAGGGUGACAGCCCCGUACACAAAAGCGCAUGUGCUGUGAGCUCGAUGAGUAGGGCGGGACACGUGGUAUCCUGUCUGAAUAUGGGGGGACCAUCCUCCAAGGCUAAAUACUCCUGACUGACCGAUAGUGAACCAGUACCGUGAGGGAAAGGCGAAAAGAACCCCGGCGAGGGGAGUGAAAAAGAACCUGAAACCGUGUACGUACAAGCAGUGGGAGCCCCACCACCAAAGCAUUUGCUGUACCGCGUUGACGGAGCGAAGCGACGUCAAACCGAUAAAACAGCAG